AACAAUCGGGCAAAAUCAUAACUGCGAACAACGAAUUCGCUCUUGCUGCCUAAUUAAAGGCAACGACGCUUCCCAUCCCUUCCGCCUGCGGGGGAUCUGAAGCGAGGUUAGCAGGCUGGCCGAUUUUCCGCCCGUCGGGAAGAGGCGAGAUCUUAGGCGGGACUUUCCCUUCCGACGCCUGUCGGUUGAGCCAAGGUAAGGGAUAAGACUUGAUCAUCCGACUACACAUGUAGAAGCAGCUGGCGCGGAUCGCUAGGACGCGGGUUCGAUUCCCGCCGCCUCCACCA
RNAcentral lists this transfer-messenger RNA (287 nucleotides) under bacterium. RNAcentral's name for it is "partial transfer-messenger RNA". It matches the Rfam family "transfer-messenger RNA", at positions 71 to 374 of the family's 374-position model. From Rfam's summary of the family: Bacterial tmRNA, also known as 10Sa RNA or SsrA, is named for its dual tRNA and mRNA-like properties. Its role is to liberate the mRNA from a stalled ribosome. The record is from RNAcentral.